AUUAUUUUGGCAGAAAAGUGCGAUGGAUUUAGAAUCUUUAUAUGUAAAUUAUACAAAUAAUA
This 62-nucleotide transfer RNA is filed under the name Curculionidae sp. 1 AH-2016. RNAcentral describes it as "tRNA-Leu". Lineage: Eukaryota; Metazoa; Arthropoda; Insecta; Coleoptera; Curculionidae. The record is from RNAcentral.